RNAcentral lists this ribosomal RNA (468 nucleotides) under uncultured bacterium. RNAcentral's name for it is "partial 16S ribosomal RNA". It matches the Rfam family "Bacterial small subunit ribosomal RNA", at positions 28 to 507 of the family's 1533-position model. The record is from RNAcentral.
GACGAACGCUGGCGGCGUGCUUAACACAUGCAAGUCGAACGGAAAGGCCCUGCUUUUGUGGGGUGCUCGAUUGGCGAACGGGUGAGUAACACGUGAGUAACCUCCCCUUGUCUGAGGGAUAACUUCAGGAAACUGGGGCUAAUACCGGAUAGGAGCUCCUGCUGCACGUGGUGGAUUGGUAAGUUUCGGCGGUUGGGGAUGGACUCGCGGCUUAUCAGCUUGUUGGGCAGGUAGUGGCUUACCAAGGCUUCGACGGGUAGCCGGCCUGAGAGGGUUGCCGGCCACAUUGGGCCUGAGAUACGGACCAGACUCGUACGGGAGGCAGCAGUGGAGAAUAUUGCACAAUGGGCGGACGCCUGAGGCAGCAAUGCCGCGUGCGGGAUGACGGCUUUCGGGUUGUGAACCGCUUUCGACUGUGACGAAGAGAGAGUGACGGUAAUGGGUAAAGAAGCACCGGCUAACUACGUG